Molecule: long non-coding RNA, 892 nt
Organism: Bolinopsis microptera
Lineage: Eukaryota; Metazoa; Ctenophora; Tentaculata; Lobata; Bolinopsidae
Exons: 2
Source: RefSeq, a predicted model, not a curated record
UACAGAUAUCAAGGCGCUAUGAUGAUGAUGAUGAAGAUUGUGGUAGUAUUUCUACUCGUGGCUGGAUUUCAUGCUCAAUCACCACUGGCACUACCACCAUGUAUUGAUGCCGGCAUUCCAGGAAUUUGUAAAAUUAUGGUGGACAUUUAUAAUGGAGACUGCCUAGGAACAUACGAAGAAGAUAUGGUAAAGAAUUGCCGUAAAAGUUGCCGUCUCUGCGAUAUAGAGUAAUAGCUAAGGGUGCUCAGUCUAAUGAUGCCGUGAUCACGUGAUACUUGCUCUAACUUGCAGUAGCGCGCGACUGCAGUACGCGUAGACACAUGGCUAUGUGAUCUCGUGAUACCUGAUGGUGGAGGGUACAAGGAUUACGUGAUAUAGAGACAAUAAUUAUAGAGACAAUUAUUAGAUAGAAACAAUUAUUCAUUGUUAUCUUAAUCAAUGGGCACAAUAAGUUGAUUUCUGUAAUCAUAGCUUACAAUCUUAAAAUGUGUUUAAAACGAUUCCGUAUUAUUACACUAUACUAUCUUACUAUAUAUAAAGCGAGACGAUAUAUAUAUAUAUAUCUGUGCCAUUUUACUGACACCACGGCAUCAACUUUAACGCGACUUUCCGCAAAAACCGUAAAAUAUAUACAACUGGAACUUUUUUGGCUGGGUCAAAUGCUUUAAUGGCCUUCAAAUCGGCAUGAAAAAAUAAAAAAUUGGCCAAGGAAUAAUGAUUUUAGAGCCGAAAAUUUGGGCCCCCAAGUGGUGUCAAAAACGCCGAUUAAAUAGGUAAUAAUUAUUUUAGUAUUUUGAGUCUUGACACCGUUUAGGGUUAAUUUAUACGGGUUCCUGCUAGUUCUUCUAAACUGUAACAAUUUUCCAUUUGAUGCUUUUAGCAUUUGCAUUUA